This is a small nuclear RNA of Otolemur garnettii (small-eared galago), 107 nucleotides long. NCBI's taxonomy places the organism in Eukaryota, Metazoa, Chordata, Mammalia, Primates, Galagidae. The record is from Ensembl.
GUGCUCACUUCAGCAGCACACAUACUAAAAUUGGAAUGAUACAGAAAAGAUUAGCAUGGCCCCUGUGCAAGGAUGACACGCAAAUUUGUGAAGCGUUCCAUAUUUUU